Hippocampus comes (tiger tail seahorse) is the source of this 671-nucleotide long non-coding RNA. RefSeq lists it as uncharacterized. NCBI's taxonomy places the organism in Eukaryota, Metazoa, Chordata, Actinopteri, Syngnathiformes, Syngnathidae. The record is from RefSeq and is a predicted model, not a curated record. The transcript has 2 exons.
CACACACACACACACACACACACACACACACACACACACACACACACACGAAUUCAAUAAGAGACGACACAAUGAAGCAUUUAUUUAGAAGGGGGAAAAAAUCUAUUCUUCCUAACUCCUUAGUUCCUAAGUCAGAACAGAGGCACGUUCAAAUACUGGAACUUGAGCACUCAAUGGGCAGAUCUGUAAAGUAUUAUUUUCUUUUCUUCACCAAAGGGGAUUAAAUUAUUCCUGGUGGGCGGAUGAGGUUUAUAUGUAUGUUGGCCAGAAAGCUUGUAGGGGUCCACUGAGGAAUGACCAUCUGUUACUAAGCUGGAUCUAAACAAUAUCUGAGCACAUACAUAAUUGCAUUUUUACUGACAAACGCAAUGAGUUCCACAAAUUGGAAUGCAUGUGAUGCAACCAACAUGAUGUGGUCUAGUCAUGCCCAGGUGAGUGUAUCAAGGCAAUCUUUGCUUUGGCUGUCAAACGAAUGACAAGUGGUGAGGUCAGGAUGGGGGAAAGGUAUUUCCACAUUUACUUUGAAACGGAGAUGCCUGAGGAACGAGACAGACGUUUCUCUUCUACUUCAGCCAUGGAAAAAGCUGGCAGGAAGGGUUUUAAUUUGGAUGUGUGUGUGUGUGUGUGUUGUUGCCGCACUUGAAGUCAUGAAUAAAAUCUAGAUAGAAAAA